Micropterus dolomieu (smallmouth bass) is the source of this 76-nucleotide small nucleolar RNA. Lineage: Eukaryota; Metazoa; Chordata; Actinopteri; Centrarchiformes; Centrarchidae. The record is from RefSeq and is a predicted model, not a curated record.
AUGUCUCGAAGUGAUGAUUUCCUUAUUACCGCCCCAGUCUGAAGAUUCAUGACUGAUUGGUAUUCUCUGAUCAUAA